This is a non-coding RNA of Mycena latifolia, 94 nucleotides long. NCBI's taxonomy places the organism in Eukaryota, Fungi, Basidiomycota, Agaricomycetes, Agaricales, Mycenaceae. The record is from the annotation of a GenBank genome assembly.
GGCCCGGUGGUGUACUGGUAACAUGCCUGCUUUACUUGUGAUGUUGUUUAGGAAGUUUCGGCAGGAGAUCCUUGUUCGAGUCAAGGUCAGGCCG